CUGCUGUGACUCGCUAGCUCCAAUUGCGGCCCCCGCGGCCCCGCCUCGCCUCCCGGAACCGGAGCCGGCAGAGCACGCUCGCAGCUGCGUCAGCCCCGACGCCUGUCUCCUCCAGCCUGAGCCCCGCGAGCGGUAGGCGCAGGGGAGGCCCUCCUCAGGUCUGGGGUUCUAGGAGGCAUGAGUGUGUGGACAAGGCUGACGGUUGCGGAGGCGCAGAGGGGCCUAGGGUUCAAAGCAGUUAAGCAGACAGUGUCAAGGAGUGUCAGUUGCUUUGUUUGGACUUGACCUCCCCACUCCAGGGUAUUCAGAGCUAGCCUCACACCGCCCUGGGAUGGAAGGCUCCCCUAGGCCCUCACCACGCCUUAAGGCAGGACCCCAGACCAGUGGCCAUCCAGCAGGUCCUUGGUUCCUCCCAGUAAUAAGGAGCUCGCUACUAAGAACGAUCUUAACACCCCCUGGGUCAUUCAUUUAUUCAACAGAUGUUUACCAGGCACUUACUAUGUGGCAGAGACUGGGCACUGGUUUAGAUAAUGAGGAUUUAGCUGUGACGAAACCAAGCCUUUUGGUCAAUGUUCCAGGAUUCUUCUGAGUGUGUGGAUCACUUCCCCCUGGAAGCCCUCCUAGCUCUACCCUCUGAGUUAAGCCCCUCUUCUUUGCUCUAAUAGUUCCCAGCCUUCCCCACCACCACCACACCUCCACUUCCUUAACCCAGAGAAGGCAGAGGCUCUUCUGGUUUGGACCUGACCAAGGUGUUUGGUGAUGACUGAUGCACCAAUGCCCAGUGGAAGCUGAAUCCUGAGCUUUGAGAAAUCCCCACGGCUUUCAGCUCUGCCGUCUGGAGCUAGGCUGGUCCAGGGAAAACCUUGCUCCUGCCUUGUGGUACAGCCCCUAGAGCAGGUAUCAUGGACAAACGUGUGGGGCAGGAAGCCAGGACUCCAGGAGCUGCCCGUCUGAGGUUAAGCCCAAGGGUCAGAAGGCCUGGGGCCCUCACCCACAAAGAAGGACAUGGGCAUGUGUUUUAACACAGGUGGUAGUUGAAAUCUGGGGGCAGGAAGGGCAGCUGCAUGUUUCACACCAAGGGCAGAUGGCCAUACUGGGAGACUUCCCCAUGGUCUGAGGGGAAGGAACCCCCCUCUCCCCACUGGGGAACAGCCCACUUCCCAGAACAACAUCUCUGUGACCCUGACUUCCUCUGUCCACUCCUGUUCUUUCUUCUGUCUGGAAUCUCCCUAUCUCUUCUCAAGGCCAGCUCAUUCUCAUCCUUCCACUUGCUGCUCAAAUGUCACCUUCCUGGUCCACCCUAUCUAAAAUUCAUCCCCUCCUCUGGUUCCCUUUAUCCAACCACCUCACCUUCUUCAGAACACUUACACGGCCGCUAUUCACUGGGAUUGUUGCCUGGCUUCCUCCACUAGAAUACAAGCUCCAUGAAGGCAGAAAACUUGCCUUUCACCUGCCUUAUUUUUUUUUAAUAUUUAUUUAUAUAUGUGGCUGUACCAGGUCUUAGUUGCGGCAUGUGGGAUCUAGUUCCCUGGCCAGGGGUUGAACCCAGGCCCCCUGCAUUGGGAACACAGAGUCUUAGCCACUGGGCCACCAGGGAAGUCCCUCACCUGCCUUAUUUCCACAAGCUGUGCCCUGCGUGGAGGGUGUUUGUUGAAUGAAUGAAGUUUUGUUCCAGAAUCACAUAAAGAAUGAAGCUAAAAGUCAGGAAAACCAAAUCCUGCUCUGCUACUAAUUUUUUUUUAAAUAAAUUUAUUUAUUUUUGGCUGCAUUGGGUGUUUGUUGCUGUGUGCAGGCUUUCUCUAGUUGCUGAGAGCGGGGGCUACUCUGUGUUGCGGUGCACAGGCUUCUCAUUGCGGUGGCUUCUCUUGUUGCGAAACACGGGCUUUAGGUGCAUGGGCUUCAGUAGUUGUGGCACACGGGCUCAGUAGUUGUGGCUCGCAGGCUCUAGAGCGCAGGCUCAGUAGUUGUGGCACACGGGCUUAGUUACUCCACAGCAUGUGGGAUCUUCCCCGACCAGGGCUUGAACCUGUGUCCCCUGCAUUGGCAGGUGGAUUCUUAACCACUACGCCACCAGGGAAGUCCCUCUGCUUCUAAUUUUUAAAUUUAUCUCUUUAUAGCUACCUUUUACACAAAGGAUUGCCGUCAACUUUUAAAUAUACAGUGAGAGUGAGAUAGGUAGGUAGCUGGAUAAAAAAUCAGGCAGAGAAAGUUCAGGCAGGUUUAAAAGUAAAGGCCAUAGAGUCAUUUAUCACUGCCAAAUUUGUGCCUCAGUUAUGGUUUUUAGCUUCCUGGGAGCUAAAGUAAAAGGGAACAGUAUUUAUUACAUGAUUCAUCUUGUCUGUAAGGAAAAGCAUCCCAGUUCCUCAGGGAAAGCAAACUUUUUUGCUGGUAGGUGACGUAUAAGACAUUUCUCACGUAGGCCUUCAUAUGGGGAUGUGGUAGCUCUUGAUAGCAACUCUCCCAACUAAAGGCCUGUGCACGGAGAGCUGCAAUAUCAGCAGUGAGCAGGAUGCCAAGAACACCUCGGCACGUGCAGCUCUGCAGGGGGAACAAAGGGGUUUUCUGGGGCUCUGGCUAGACCCGGGGGGUGAGGCCUAGAAUCAAAGAGGGAUGGAGGGACUGAAUUCCUUUCAGAGCAGUGUGGCUCCCAGCUUUUGGGUUUACAUAGCCAAUAAUUUUAUUUUUAAGUUGGAUAUUUUCAAUACCAUCUAUAAAAUAUUCCUGUAAAAAAAAAAAGAGGAACCCAAAUUGGAUCAAGAUCUAAUCACCUCCUUAUAAAAACUGCAGAGGGGGAGAGGGCUUCCCUGGUGGCACAGUGGUUAAGAGUCCACCUGCCGAUGCAGGGGACACAGGUUCGUGCCCCGGUCCGGGAAGAUCCCACAUGCCGCGGAGCAGCUGGGCCCGUGAGCCAUGGCCGCUGAGCCUGCGCGUCCGGAGCCUGUGCUCCGCAACGGGAGAGGCCACAACAGUGAGAGGCCUGCGUACCGCAAAAAAAAAAAAAAAAAAAAGUUGGAUAUAUUGAUAUAAGGUUAGCCUUUUCUCAAUUAGCCAACUUUUCCCAAAUAAGAACGUGACAACAACAACAACAAAAAGAACAUGACAACAAAAUAGCUACCAUCUGCUGUCACCAUCAUUUCAUAAGAAAAAGGACUUUAUAACAUCAAAGAUGCAGUAAGGGCUGCAACUCUGAUAAAGGCCAGUCAGAAUGGAAUGUAUUUUGUUUUCUGGAAAAAUCACAGCAGACAGUACCGUGGAGCAGUACUGGUGUGUGGGCCCCAGCUUCAAACAAUCCUUCCCAAGCCUGUGUUUUUCAAACACCAGCUGCCAGUCCACCAGGCUUUAAAUCUAGACCUUGCCGCUUGCUGGCUGUGUGACCUCGGACCAGUUUACCUGACUUCUCAGGGCCUCAGUUUCCACAUCCGUAAAAUGAGUGGGAGCUGUAAUAAUGAUCCUCACCUUCUAGGGUUGCUGUGAAGAUUGAGCUGGUGCACGGGCGGUGCCUGCCGCCUAGAAAGUGCUCGGUGUACGGCAGUUGCCUGUAUUUUUACCUCCCAUGGGGAUGAUAAGGUCCACAGAUUUAUUGUGGAGAGCAGGAAGGCCUUUAACUUAGGUUUAUGGAAUGUCAGAGCUGGAACGGGCCUUCUAGAUCAUCUACAGAGGAAUCCUCUUACAGAAUGAGAAAGGGAGUCUUUGGGGGGGCUAUGCGAACAGCUGAUGGUCCCAGUGACAGAACAGUAAGUGGACUUCAAAGGGGCCCCUGAGUCCUGGGGCUCCGGGCUUUGCUAAACAAGUUGGUAGGGCCCCCAACCCCACCUCACAGGGCCAUUCCACUCUACGCUCAUGUCAAAGCCGGUCAAUUAAAGACACAUGGCGAGUGCACAGAGCUUUAGUUUACAGUGAGCCUUUGCAAACUUACUCCAACCCUAGAAGGUAGGGUGUCCUGGAAUGAGUAUCCCAUUUCACAGAAGCCAGGGGUGGAUUGGUAACCAAAGCCAUAAGCAGAGGCUCAGAAAUUCAAAAGAAGAAGGUUAGGUCGGUAUAAAAUGGCUGCCACUCCCUCUGCCUUUGGAAAAGUACUUCAACUACAAAGAAGUCAACUACUAACUCCAAGGAGAGCAGAAAGGAAAGCAGUUGCUAUGGCAACAUCUCUGGCAGCCUAUUUUCCAUCUUCCUCUGGUUCAAAACAACAGCUUCCAGCAGGUUCUGGCUGGGGGUAGGGAAGGUCUAACUCCAGCCCAGAAACAGCUCUUGGCCAAUCUCCUGCUAGAUUUCAGUGGCAAGAGAAGGUGGCAGCCAAUGAAGAGGCCUGGAGCUUGUGUCAUCGGCCUCUAGCCAGGUUGGAAUAAGCAGAAGGCAGGCACACGUGACCGUUUCCAUGGUGACCUCAGUUAGCAACCCGAAUGGUCCUGUUUAUGAGCACUGGAAAAUUCCACCCAGCCUCUGGCCUGAUUUUGUUACCUUCUCUGCCUCCUUCCUGCUCCAAGGCAAGGAUGAAGUCACUGCCAAUGUUUAACCCCUUCCUAAGAUGUGCCUGGCUCCCGUCAGAUCUGGGGGUCUGGGAGGCAGCUGCGUGCUUAGUAUGUGAGGGGGGAGGGAAGGUAGUGACAGACACCAUUUUACAGGGCACAUCAUUUGAGCCAGGCACUGUACUAAGCUCCUGACGGCCUCACAACCUGAGAAGGGGGGUACUACACGAUUUCAUUCCUAUUUCCCUGAGGACUAAACUUGAUUCAGAGAGGUUAAGUAACUUGCCACCAUCACAGGGUCCAGCCAGUGAGGGAGGAACCAGGCUGAGACCAAGUGUGUGGGACUCUCAAGGCCACUCUCUCCAUGACCCCUCUAUAAGGAUGGAAGAGUUGAAGAACCAGAUGGGGUGGGCGACAGGGACAGGGUGCGGAGGGGGAGAGAUCCAUGGUCUUCUGGGGAGCUGAGAGAAGGCUGAGUGGAAGAACAAGGAGGAAAUACCUGCUUGGCUCCAGGACACCCACAUUGCCAGGCUGGGGCUGACGGCUGGUGGGCAAGGCCAGACAGGCCCCAGGGAAGGCUGUGGCCAGGACCCUGGGCUGAGUCCCCAUCAUUCAUCCUCUCUGGGAUCCUGGCUGGGGUGGGGAGAGAAGUCAAGCCUAUAACCAUUCCUGCCAAACUCCUGCUGGGGAAAUGCCAGCCUGGGCUGGGGAUGGAUCCUGGGGCCCAGCAGCUGGAACCUGGGGUGAGCCUCUCAGCGUCCCCAGCACCAGCUGGAGGUCACACAGGACAGGCUGCGUAGAUGCGGAAUAAGCUGCGUGCGUUGCUGGUCUGAGCCGAGGCGGGGCUGUGGGAAGACUGUGUUUGCAAGGAUAAGCGACAAACAACAAUAAAAGUCAUAUACCAUAGCUCAGGGUAACAACAGGCGCUGCUGAGUCUAAACUUCCUUGGUUUGUGUGGGCUGCAGCUGAAGAGGCCUGAGGCAGCCUGAGACUGAGUGACACAGAAGGCACUUCUGGCGUGGACAUGUCAGAACUUCAGUCAUGCUGGGCAUUGUGUUGCCAUGGGACACGGGGGCUAGGCCCCCAACUGACGGUCCCAGGGGCCCCGGGAUUCCUGCACCUGGGGAAGGCAAAGGGGAGGAAUGAGAGCUUCUGCCACCAUUUCACAAUUCUUGAGCCAGGUCACUCCGUUGGGCCUGCUUCCCCGGAGUAAAGGGCAGAGGGGCUGGGAAUGCAGGGACCAGAAUGAGCUCUGGCCUUAGAGCAACAAGUUACCAAACGGAGCCAAGUGACAUCUCUGCAGAGUUCUCACCCUUUGUCCACAGCUGGGACUCACCGCUGGGAGGGUGGCACAGACCCAUCUCCCGUCUGUGCAGGAGAGUGAGCCCGAGGCCCCUCUGUCCCCAGUUUCAGCCUCCAGCAGUCGCACCCCAUCCUCACUGAUGACCAGGCUGCAAACCCUGGAGUUGCCUUAACCCUCCGAAGAGUUAGGGGGACAUGUUAAUGAACACGUGUUCAUCCAGGAAAACAGGCUGUGCUGUGACAGUAACUGUGGGGUGGUGAUACGGGAUGACUUUGGAAGUGCUGGGCAGAGGCCCUAGGCCCUUUCCCAGGCAGGGUGAUGAGAAUGAGUGUCAUCUGAAGAGUGCGGGAGGUGCAUUCCAUGCAGAUGUGUCAUCGAGAGUAAAGAACAUGAGUGUGGACUCACAGAUAGAGAACAAACUAGUGGUUACCAGUGGGGAGAGGGAAGUGGGGAGGGGCAAGAUAGGGGUAGGAGAACAAAGGGUUAUUACGGGAUUAUAUGAAAUCAUGUGUGUUAAACUUUUUUUAAUAAAUACAUUUGUUUAUUCAUUUA
Molecule: long non-coding RNA, 6321 nt
Organism: Orcinus orca (killer whale)
Lineage: Eukaryota; Metazoa; Chordata; Mammalia; Artiodactyla; Delphinidae
Exons: 2
Source: RefSeq, a predicted model, not a curated record